This 463-nucleotide ribosomal RNA is filed under the name uncultured bacterium. Its description in RNAcentral is "partial 16S ribosomal RNA". It matches the Rfam family "Bacterial small subunit ribosomal RNA", at positions 28 to 507 of the family's 1533-position model. The record is from RNAcentral.
GAUGAACGCUGACAGAAUGCUUAACACAUGCAAGUCUUUGGCGAAGCUGUGCUCGCACAGCCUAGCCAAGGCGGACGGGUGAGUAACGCGUAAGGAACUUGCCCUGCAGUCAGGGAUAACAGACGGAAACGACUGAUAAGACCUGGUAAAGUCAGGCGGACUCAUGUCCAGCCUGAUGAAAAGAGAUGCUGCAGGAGAGCCUUGCGUCCUAUUAGCUUGUUGGUGGGGUAACGGCCCACCAAGGCGAUGAUAGGUAGCCGGCCUGAGAGGGUGGACGGCCACAAGGGGACUGAGAUACGGCCCUUACUCCUACGGGAGGCGGCAGUGGGGAAUAUUGGACAAUGGGGGCAACCCUGAUCCAGCAAUUCUGUGUGCACGAUGAAGGUUUUCGGAUUGUAAAGUGCUUUCAGCAGGGAAGAAAAAAAUGACGGUACCUGCAGAAGAAGCGACGGCUAAAUACGUG